This 415-nucleotide ribosomal RNA is filed under the name uncultured bacterium. RNAcentral describes it as "bacterial SSU rRNA". It matches the Rfam family "Bacterial small subunit ribosomal RNA", at positions 39 to 499 of the family's 1533-position model. The record is from RNAcentral.
GCGGCACGCCUUAUACAUGCAAGUCGAACGAAGUAGCAAUACUUAGUGGCAGACGGGUGAGUAACAUGUGGGUAUCUUCCCUUUGGUGAGGAAUAACACGAGGAAACUUGUGCUAAUACCUCAUAAGUCUUUACGGAGAAAGCUUUAUGCGCCAAUGGAUGAGCCUGCACUUGAUUAGUUAGUUGGUGGGGUAAUGGCCUACCAAGACUUUGAUCAAUAGCUGAUUUGAGAGGAUGAUCAGCCACAUUGGGACUGAGACACGGCCCAAACUCCUACGGGAGGCAGCAGUAAGGAAUCUUGCACAAUGGAGGAAACUCUGAUGCAGCGAUGCCGCGUGAGUGAAGAAGGCCCUUGGGUUGUAAAGCUCUUUCGUCGGGGAAGAAAAUGACUGUACCCGAAUAAGAAGGUCCGGCUA